GUGCCAGCAGCCGCGGUAAUACGUAGGUGGCAAGCGUUAUCCGGAAUUAUUGGGCGUAAAGCGCGCGUAGGCGGUUUUUUAAGUCUGAUGUGAAAGCCCACGGCUCAACCGUGGAGGGUCAUUGGAAACUGGAAAACUUGAGUGCAGAAGAGGAAAGUGGAAUUCCAUGUGUAGCGGUGAAAUGCGCAGAGAUAUGGAGGAACACCAGUGGCGCAGGCGACUUUCUGGUCUGUAACUGACGCUGAUGUGC
Molecule: ribosomal RNA, 250 nt
Filed under: uncultured Staphylococcus sp.
Lineage: Bacteria; Bacillati; Bacillota; Bacilli; Caryophanales; Staphylococcaceae
Description: partial 16S ribosomal RNA
Rfam family: Bacterial small subunit ribosomal RNA
Source: RNAcentral